AGCCUCUCUCAAAUGACUUCUCCUGUUGUUUGUGUUUCUCCAGUGUGGGUGCUGGAGAGCAUAACUGAUGAGGAGGACUCUCCAGCUAGGGAACUGCUUUCCAGCUCCUGGACCACCUCAUAUCACCAGCACCCUCUACCCAAGGUCCUGGAGCCAACACUGGAGUAAAAGAGCACAAGAGAACUCCUUAGAGGUGGAAGGAUACCCUCUGAGGUCAAAUCAUUGGGCUUGUGGCCAUGAGACCACAGACUUUGCCUGGCUUCCAGUGACUGUCCGAGAUGACCUGUGGAGUGCACCGCCUGUACUUGGACAUCACUGUCUUUUCGGAUCCAUACCCGUCAUCCUUGGAAUUUCCCCUGCAUCCAAACCUGUUCCUGAUACAGGUAUAACCCUAAGGAAUAUCUUGGAUGUCUUCACGGGGCUUAUGACUUAUUCUGAGGUUUACAAAAUAGAGGCCCCCAGCUGAGCAAAGAGAGGGCUGCAGCGCCGAGGGAACAGCUGCCGGACUCACCGGAGAGGCCUCCUGGAGCACGCCGGGACCCCCUCCACCCCCUGGCUUUGG
RNAcentral lists this long non-coding RNA (562 nucleotides) under Homo sapiens (human). Its description in RNAcentral is "HSALNT0392975". Lineage: Eukaryota; Metazoa; Chordata; Mammalia; Primates; Hominidae. The record is from RNAcentral.